Molecule: non-coding RNA, 8626 nt
Organism: Cordylochernes scorpioides
Lineage: Eukaryota; Metazoa; Arthropoda; Arachnida; Pseudoscorpiones; Chernetidae
Source: the annotation of a GenBank genome assembly
AAUGAAGAGCCUCAGAUGUAUCCAUGCAUCUAUAUCACAGCAGUCGCAAUGUCCACUGUUGUAUAGUUAUUAAUUAAACAUUACUCACCAGAUGAAAUUAUUUUAUUACAAAUUGUUUAUUACACUUUAUAUUCAUAUUUUUACAUCAACAGGUUGUUUACAUUAUACAUAGUAUUUUAUUAUUGUUUAUGAUGAUGAUAUAUUCUAUAUUUUAAAACACAGAAUACUACAUUCCCUCCUUCCUUUAGAUGAAAGGAAUCAUGUCUUUAUAUCUUGAUGAUGGCUUGACGACUCUUCCACUCCUGGUGAUCACGGGUUCCUUGGUAGUCGGCAAGGGUGGAGAAACCUCUGGUGGCAACUGGUGAAGAGCCUCGGCAUCAAGUCUAUCUGAAACAACUGGGUUAAAUGUAGACCCUGUUCUACUUGAACUUGGUCGGUUUAAAGAAGUGUCCUUGUCUUGGUUUAAGGAAUUAUCAUCUGGUAUUUGUACAUCAGAAGAGUUGAGGUGUUCAAUUCUUGUUGAAUCUGAACUAAGAUUUUCCUGGCUCUCUUCUGGAAUCAAGUCAGAAAUGUCUUGAUUGGUCUCUUGAGUAGGAACAUGUUUCAAAUGUUUAGCAUUUCUAUGAAUUAUUUUCCCAUUUUUAGUGUUGACUAAUUUAAAAGAAUUUAUUGAAGUGUUUUCAAGAAUGACACGAUGUUCUGAUCUGAAAUUUGAAUCAAAUUUUCCAUUAUUUGGAUUUGCCACAUAAACUAAAUUUCCAAUUUCAAAAUUAUGAGGACUAGCUUUCCGAAUUAUAUCAUUAUAUGCUUUCAUGUUUUCUUUGUAGACCAUAUUGAAUUCUUUGAUGUUGGAUUCAUCUUCUUCUGCAUCAUUAACAAGUGAGCUUAAUUUAGUUUUGAUUUCUCUUGAAAAUAAUAGGAAUGCUGGAGUCUUUCCUGUAGAUCUGUUUGGAGUAGUUCGGUAAGACAUUAAAAUUCUGGAUAAAUCUUCUUUCCAAUCUUUCCCUUCUUCAGAACUUGAAUUGAAUUGUUUCUUUAGAAAUCUAUGGAAUCUUUCUAUCUUCCCAUUACUUUUUGGGUAAUAGGGUGAGGCUUUGAUGUGCCUGAUUCCACAUUCUUUUAAAAAUCUUUCCAUUGAUGUACUUACAAACUGUAAGCCAUUAUCUGUUACAACUUCAUGUGGAUAACCAUGUCUUGCAAAAAUCUCCAUUAAUUUUUCAAUAAUUGUCUUGCUGGAAAUGUCUUCUAUUAUCAUUGCUUCAGGAUAUGAAGAAUAGUAGUCGAUCACUGUUAAAACAUAAUGAUGGCCAAUUGGACCAACUAUGUCAAUUCCAAGUUUCAUAUAAGGUUUUGAUGGUAACGGAACUAUUUGCAAUGGUUGAUCAUUUAUCAAUGGUUGAUUCCUUACACAAAUUGGACAGUUUCUUAUCAAAUUUUCAAUGUCAAAGUCCAUGUUUAUCCAAAAAUAUUUUUAUCUUAACAGUUGUUUGGUUCUUGUCAUUCCUUGAUGUGUUUCAUGUGCAAUUCUCAAGACUCUCUUUAUUAGUUUUGAAGGUAGCAAAAUUCUACUUCCUUUUAAGAUAAGAUUAUCAAAAAUUGAGAGUUCAUCUUUAAACUUAUAAAAACAUUUGAAUUCUUCAUUCAAAGGAUAUGGCCAAACUCCCUUUUGAACCAUAUCUUUCAGUUUUUGAAACAAAGGAUCUUGCUCUGUACAAACUUUUAUCUCUUUCAAAGACAGUGCUUGAAGCUCUUCAGAAGUGAUGGAUAAGACUUUAUGAACAUAGUCCUCCAGCCAUUUUUCAUCACUUGUGUUAGAAAGAGGUUGUCUUGAAAAUAUAUCUGCAAUAUUUUGCUUUCCUUGAAUGAAUUCAAUUUCAAAGUCAUAUGGUUGUAAUCUCCAACUCAAUCUUUGGAUUCUUGGAGGCAAAACAGCUCCAUUUUUAGGAUUCAGCAUAUAGAUUAGAGGUUUGUGAUCUGUUUUUAACACAAAUUUCCUUCCCCAAAUAUAGGUGUUAAAAUGUUCAAUUGCCCAUACACAUCCCAAUGUCUCUUUUUCUAUUUGUGAAUAUCUUUUUUCAGUAUCAGUUAAGGAUCUGCUGACAUAUGCAAUGGGUCUUUUAAUGCCAUUUUGUUGUGUUUGUAUUAAUACUGCUCCAAGACCAAUAGGGCUUGCAUCUGUGAUUAAUUCAGUUGGUGAGUUCAAGUUGUAAUAUGCCAAGCAUGGCUCUUUUGUUAGUGACUCUUUAAGAUCCUGAAAUGCUUUAUUUGUUUUCAAAUCCCAAUUCCACCUAACAUUUUUUUCUAGUCAAAUUAUUUAGAGGUUCUGCCAAUUUAGAAAAAUUAGGUAUGAAUUUUCUUAAAAACCCACAAGUUCCUAAGAAUGACCUUAACAUCUCAAUAUUUUUUGGUAUUGGAAAAUUUAAGACUGCUUCUAUUUUCUUAUUAUCAGGUUUAAUACCUUCACUACUAACAAUGUGACCUAAAAUAUCCAAUUCUUCCAUGGCAAAUUUGCACUUAUUCCUGUUGAGCCUAAUGCCUACUUUAUCAAAUCUUUAUAAGACUUUUCUAAGCCUUUCUUCUAGUUCUUGUCUAUCUUUGGCGUAAACUACGACAUCGUCCAAGUAACAAAUUACACCUUUCAAAUCAAGCAAAAUUGAAUCCAUUCCUUUCUGAUAUGCCUCUGGAGCACUUGAUAGACCAAAAGGAACUUUACAAAAUCUGUAACAACCACGGUGCGUGAUGAAAGUUGUAAGGGGUCUUGAUUGAGGGUCUAAGUCAACCUGCCAAAACCCUUUUUUUUGCAUCCAGCUUUGCAAAUACUUAAGCACCUUUAAGGGCAUGUAACAUAUUGUCAAUUGUAGGAAUUGGAUGUCUUUCUCUCAAUAUUGCUUUAUUCACUUCCCGAAGGUCUAUGCAUAGUCUAAUUUCCUCACUAUCCCUUUUUGUAACAACUAUUAUGUUAGAAACCCAUUCAGAACCUUGAUGCACUUCUUCAAUGAUUCCAUUCUCUAGCAUCUUAUCAAGCUCUUGAUUUACUGCUUCUACCAUUGCAUAAGGUAUACGACGGCAUCUCUGGGCAAUGGGCCUAUAGUUGUCUUUCAAUGUCACUUCAUGACUAUAGCCUUUUAUAGUUCCAAGUCCAUGGAAAAGAUGUUCAUGUUCUUGAACAAGAGUUUCUAUAUUAGUAGACAUUGAUUCAUUUACAUGAUUUACCCUUUUAAUUAUACCUAGUUCAAAACUAGCCUUGCCUCCCAACAAAGAUUCAACUUUUUUAACAAUCACAUAAAUUUCUUCUGAAAUUGAAUUUUCUUUUCAAGAAAUCACAGCAUUGAAAUAACCAUAACAUGGAAGAGAUCUAUCUUGACCAUAGGCAAAAAAGGUUCGGGUGGUGUAAUGUAAUUUUGGCAUAAUUUUAUGGCCAUAUAAUUCAAGCAUCUUAUUAUAGCUUAUGAAAGUUCUAUCACUCCCUGUAUCAAUUAUCAUAUUUAUUUCACUACCAUCUAUUUGCACUUUUUCUUUAUUUUCAGCACCUGUAUAGUAGGUAUAUUCAUCUGAACUUUCACCUACUUCAGUCUUAUUUUCUUCUUGUAUGGUCUUAACUUUAGUUUGAUUGAAACUUUUGUGGUUUCUAUUAUUAUUUUGAUUUGGGCGGUUCCUGCAAGCUCUAAAAAGAUGUCCUAAUUUAUUGCAAUAUGAACAAGUCAUUUUUUAGCACCACAUUCUUGUGCUGAAUGUGUAUCUAAUCCACAGCGAUAACAUUUAGGCUUUGAGGCACCUGAAAAUGAUGAGGUACCUUGAUUAGUGAAUCUACCUUUGUUGAAAUUAUUAGCAUUAUAGUGCUUUUUAGGUUUAAUUUGAACUCUAUUUAGUGUUUGAUCAUUUUGAGGUUCAAGAAGUCUAAUUUCUUUUCUAGAAAUUUCUAACAUUCUAGCAAUAUCAAUGGUUUUUUGACAGUGUCAAAUUUUCUUGUUGCAACAAUUUUUCUUUAAGUUUUUUGUUGUUACAUUUUUCAAUUAUUUGGUCUCUUAUCAUAUCAGCUUCUAAAUUCUCAAAUUCACAAGAUUUAGAAAGCUCUCUUAAAGAAAUUAGGUAGUUGUCGAUCGAUUCAUCAUCUUUCUGGACUCUUUGUGUAAAUUUAAAUCUCUCAGUGACCACAUUUUUAUGAGGUGUGAAAUAUUUAUCUAAGGCCAUUUUAGUUUGUUCAUAAUUUUCUUUUUCAUCUGGCAAGUUGAAAAAUAUACGUUGUACAUUUGGCCCUAAACAAUGCAAUAGAGUUGUUCUCUUAAUUUCAUCCGAUUUUUUUGUAAUUCCAGAUGCUAUUUCAAAAAUGGCAUAGGAUUCCAUCCAUUGCUUAUAUUCCGCAAAUAAAUUGCUAGCAUUCAUAUUCAUGGGUAAAGGUGGCGUCAGGUUGGCUGCCAUACUUGUUUUUUUUUUAGGGCUACAGUUAUAUUUUCAAAUUCUCGUCGCCAAUUUAUGUUGUAUAGUUAUUAAUUAAACAUUACUGUUACGCAAACUUUGACUUUUAUCAUCAUCGAUGCUGACGUCACUUCCAACUUCUACCUUCAACCUUGCUGUUAUGUUUAUCGCUAGCUUGUUUUAACAAUAUUUGUAUUGGAACAAGUCGUUCCUUAAAUAAAUAUAUAUUUGUUUUUAUCUAAAGGGAUGUCCUCGUAACUAAAACAUACGUGAGUACAAAAACAACUAGAAAUCCUUAAAAAAGAAACAUCGUAUUUUUGCUAAGCCUAUAUCAAUUUGGUAGCAGAGCGUGGUUUGGGCGCGCGAAUUGGACUAACCGCCAAUUGAUCCAUUUAAAUCAAAAAGAAAUUAAAUAAUUGGACUAACCGCCAAUUUAGAAAGAAAAAAGUUGAAUAAAAAUGGAUACAUAUAACUUAGCAAAAAUUGAACAGUUAACAGAAAACAACUAUACAACGUGGUCCAUAAAAAUGGAAGCAAUUCUAGAUUCAAAAGAUCUCUUCGAGGACGUAAUUGUUAAUGACGAGCCAGAUUUUACAAAUAAUAAACUAGAAUAUGAUAUUUGGAAGAAAAAGAAUCGGGAAGCAUACAGCCUAAUAAUAUUGUCACUUUCUGAUGACUUAACAAUCAUCUUUCGAGGCGAUAAAAGGGCCAAAAGAAUUUGGUACGACAUAAAGAAAAGGUUUGAAGGAUCUCUAGAAAAUAAAAGGAUAGACCUAAUGUUGGAUCUAGCCAGACUAAAAUUGACCCCAAAUGAAAAUGUUAACAUGUAUAUUGUACGAGCACAGAAACUGGCACAAGAGAUCACCCAGCUAGGAAAGACAGUAACAGAAAGAGAGCUUGUACGAUACAUUGUUGAAGGACUCGCACCUAACUUUGACACGAUCACAGCAGCACUGUCAUUAAACAGAGAAAUCUCCUUACCAGACUUGAGACAAACUCUACUGGAUUUUGAGAAGAAAAGACAGGACAGAAGCAAAAAUCAUGAAAAUGCUUUCAGAUCAUCAGGCAACCAAUUCAAAGAAAAGUCAUGCUUCAUUUGCAAAAGAAAAGGACAUUUCAAGAAAGACUGUUGGUUCAACCCUAACAACAAAGGAAUUCAAAAGAAUACAACAAACAAAAAUAACAUGGCCAGUACAAGGAACUACCAUAAAGGACCAAAACAAAACAAAGACACGGCCAGAUCAGCAAUCCAAGAACGAACGGAGGAACCAUCCCAACGAAAAGACUCCACUUCAGAAUACGCACUACAUGUAAGCACAAGGGAGGAACGCCCGACGACACAGGACGUGUGGAUAAUUGAUUCUGCGUGCACAAGCCACAUGACUUCCCAUGGUGAAUGGAUCGAGCACAAGAAGGAGGAGAGAAGAAGCAUACAAGUGGCGGAAGAAGGGAGACACAUCGAAUCUGCCUCAUCAGGAUCAAUCCAAGCUACUGUACAAGGUAAGGACAAACUUAACAACGCUGUAACCCUGCAUAAUGUCCUCCAUGUACCACACCUGAAAGGAAAUCUAAUGUCCAUUCCAAGCGUAGUAAGAAGAGGGAACUCUGUUCUUUUGAAUUCUGAAAGAGCAUACAUAUACUCUUCUGAUGACAAGCUAAUAGGAACAGGCAACUUUGAUGGUAACAUGUACACAUUGAACCUAUCACGUUUAUCUGAAGCAACUCAUGUUCCAAAUGAACAUUGCUUGAUUUCAAAGGACAAUUCUAGGACUGCAUGGCACAGAAGGUUAGGACAUCCUUGUGACAACAAAUAAGACCUGAUUUUUGAAGAACAAUCUUCUAAAAGGCUUGAACUCUAUAAAUGGUACCCUUGAUCAAUGUGAUGUUUGCUCCUUGGGAAAAAUGACCAAAGUACCCUAUGUUCACACAGAUAGCAAUCAGGAAAGCUACCCCUUUGAAGCCAUUUAUGUCGAUCUCUGUGGUCCAAUGAGAAUAAACUCCUUGGGCGGAAGUAAAUAUUUCUUGACCAUCGUAGAUAUAUUUUCUAGGAGAAUAUUUGUAGAAUUUCUCAAAGAUAAACUCUCAGCAGCAGAAGUUUUGAAGAAGUUUAUUGUAAAGAGAGAAAACGAGCUAAACUCAAAACUAAAACGACUUAGAACAGAUAACGGAACAGAAUUUAUCAAUAAAAACCUUGAAACCUUCAUAGAAUCCAAAGGAAUUAAACAUGAACUAACUACACCGUACACCCCAAGAAGCAAUGGGAGAGUUGAAUGAGCUAACAGAACACUAUUAGACAAAGGCCUAACACUUCUGGCAGACUCCCAAUUACCCCUACACUUCUGGGCAGAAGCUGUGAAUACAGCUGCAUAUCUGUACAAUCUAACUCCCACAACCAAUGACCCAGACACUACCCCUAUGGAAAAAUGGAAAGGUAAAAAGCCAUCCGUCUCUCACAUCAUGAGAUUUGGUUGUGAAGUCUUCUAUAAACUCGAGAAUCAUCAAAGACACAAACUAGAAGCUAAAUCUAAGAGAGGAAUAUUUGUGGGCUAUUCAAGAUGCAGAAGAGCUUAUCGAGUAUUUGAUAUCACAGCGAAAGGUUAUUCUUGAAACCGCAGACAUUCACUUCAGAGAGAACAAUAAUGUCAUCUCGGAAGAAAAACAAAGUGAUAAUAAUACGGACACUGACACAUAUUUCUUCAUUCAGGAGGAUGAACAACUGGACAAUCAUGUUCUAUCAGAUGUUGAUAUUGAAGAGCCAGCACCAGAUACCAUGAUCAACAGACAGACAGAGUCAAGUGGAUCAGACAGACCACAAAGAACUCGAACAAUACCUAAAAGAUUCGAUGACUACGUUCUGGCUACUAUAAAUGAAACCAUUCCGAAAGACUAUGAUGAAGCCAUUGCAUGCGAAGACAAGAAACUUUGGGAGAACGCAAUGCUUGAGAAAAUACAGAACAUGUACUCGCAUCAAGUAUGGGAACUGGUACCUAGACCUGUAAACGCUAAAGUUGUCAAAAGUAAAUGGGUGUUCAAAAUAUCUAAAGACCAAGAAAACAAAAACAAAACUUACAAAGCUAGACUUGUUGCAAUGGGAUACAACCAAAUCCCAGGAAGAGAUUACAACGAAAGUUUCAGCCCUGUAAUUAAAAAUGCCACCCUCAGGACUAUUUUGUCAAUGACAGCAACAAAAUAUUCAGUCAUUAAACUAUUUGAUGUGAAAGCAGCCUAUCUAAAUGGAAACAUUGAAAACACAAUAUUCAUGGAACAACCUGAUGGAUUUGUCCAAGACAGAAACAAAGUUUGCAAACUCAACAAAAGUAUUUACGGUCUACCUCAAUCCGGAAGAUCGUGGUAUGAGAAAUUCAGUCAAGUACUUCAUGACUGUGGACUGGAAGAACUUAAAUCUGAUCCUUGCCUAUUUAAAUGGAAGAAUGAAGAUAAAUACUUCUAUGUAGGGAUAUAUGUUGAUGACUUUAUCACUGUCUCAGAUUCUGAAGAUACCUCAAACAGAUUCAUCAAUAAAUUGAGACAUCACCUGGAAAUAAAGGAUGUAACAUGUAAAGGCAUGUUUUUGGGAAUCAAGAUCAUAUAAGACAGGAGGGAAUUUUGCUACAGCAAAGCCACUAUGUACAACAAAUAUUGCAGAAAUAUGGAAUGGAAACUUGUAAGGAAGUUCCAACACCAGGUUCCAAAGAAAUAAAUUUGGACAAUCAUAUUGAAGAUGACAAUUGAGAUCAGCACACUUACCAAGAAGCCCUUGGAAUGCUAAUGUUUCUAGCUGUUAACACCAGACCCGACAUCGCUUACAUCACUAGCAAACUUUCACAGUACUCCAGACAACCAAAACAGAUGCACUGGACAGCAAUCAAAAGAGUGAUGAGAUACCUACGAGGAACAAUUGACCUAGGAGUGAAAUUUGAAAGAGGAAAGACUGGAAUACUGAAGUCCUACACCGAUGCCAGCUGGUCGACCACUCAUGAUGGAAAAUCCUACGGCGGAUAUGUAUUGAAGCUCGGCGUAGCAACUAUAGACUGGAAAAGUAGUAAACAACCACUCGUCGCCCUCUCCACAAUGGAAGCGGAAAUGAUAGCUGCUUGUGAAAGCUGCUGUCGAAUCAAGUGGAUAAUAAACCUGCUAUGAGAGCUGGAAGAAUGGAAUUUCAUGGAAAAACCAACUGCGAUCUAUACAGACUGUCAGUCAUUGAUCAACU